GAUGAACGCUGGCGGCGUGCCUAAUACAUGCAAGUCGAGCGAACGGACGAGAAGCUUGCUUCUCUGAUGUUAGCGGCGGACGGGUGAGUAACACGUGGAUAACCUACCUAUAAGACUGGGAUAACUUCGGGAAACCGGAGCUAAUACCGGAUGAUAUUUUGAACCGCAUGGUUCAAAAGUGAAAGACGGUCUUGCUGUCACUUAUAGAUGGAUCCGCGCUGCAUUAGCUAGUUGGUAAGGUAACGGCUUACCAAGGCAACGAUGCAUAGCCGACCUGAGAGGGUGAUCGGCCACACUGGAACUGAGACACGGUCCAGACUCCUACGGGAGGCAGCAGUAGGGAAUCUUCCGCAAUGGGCGAAAGCCUGACGGAGCAACGCCGCGUGAGUGAUGAAGGUCCUCGGAUCGUAAAACUCUGUUAUUAGGGAAGAACAUACGUGUAAGUAACUGUGCACAUCUUGACGGUACCUAAUCAGAAAGCCACGGCUAACUACGUG
This 497-nucleotide ribosomal RNA is filed under the name uncultured bacterium. Its description in RNAcentral is "partial 16S ribosomal RNA". It matches the Rfam family "Bacterial small subunit ribosomal RNA", at positions 28 to 507 of the family's 1533-position model. The record is from RNAcentral.